RNAcentral lists this ribosomal RNA (253 nucleotides) under uncultured bacterium. Its description in RNAcentral is "partial 16S ribosomal RNA". It matches the Rfam family "Bacterial small subunit ribosomal RNA", at positions 524 to 776 of the family's 1533-position model. The record is from RNAcentral.
GACGGAGGAUGCGAGUGUUAUCCGGAAUCACUGGGCGUAAAGCGUCUGUAGGUGGUUAAAUAAGUCAACUGUUAAAUCUUGAGGCUCAACUUCAAAAUCGCAGUCGAAACUAUUAGACUAGAGUAUAGUAGGGGUAAAGGGAAUUUCCAGUGGAGCGGUGAAAUGCGUAGAGAUUGGAAAGAACACCAAUGGCGAAAGCACUUUACUGGGCUAUUACUGACACUGAGAGACGAAAGCUAGGGUAGCAAAUGGG